CUGGCCGUCAUAACGUUCCUAACGAAAAGAACUGCAGCCGCUGUUUGCGCACCAGAGCGGGGGGCGGGCCGCCUGCUGCUGCUGUUUUCCUUGGGUCCAGAAGGGCGGACACAGCCUCUCUCUGACACGCCCUCGUGCAGCAGCGGACAGGCCAUCGUGUCUUGUGAGCCCGGGGGGAGGUCCUGGAGGACCUUUGCUGGAGGGAGUGCUGCGGCCGUUUCCCAAGGCACUCCAAUGCCUCAAAGAUGAAAUGUUGCUUUUCCUCCUUUCUUGUGAGGCGCACUGAGAUGAUGUCUUUGUGUCCCAGAAAGUAAACGAGACCAAGUGAGAGCGGUAGGAGCAGGCCCUCCGGAAUCGCGGAGGGUGGAAUUCCUUCCGAGGAGGGUGAGCCACGCUCUUGUGCGGGCGUCGGGGGGCAGGUGGGUUCACGUCCUUUGUGUUUGGUGAGGACUAACAAGGAAAACAGCCAGACCUCCGGGUGGUGUGGAUCCCCGGAAGGACCCGGUGACUGCGGAGGAGCGGGUGCUGGAACCAGCCUGGGAGCCGCUAGGCCUUGGCGUGGGAAUCGCAGCGUUGAGCCCUGAGCGACCAGGAGGCGCCCUCGCCUCUGAAAACCAGCAGGUGCAGGCAGGACCUGGGGCCGCGCCUGGAUCCAGGUCUCCGCGACGCGACAGCACCUCCUGGUGGCCGCGAGGAGGAAUGAGCGAAGUUCAGCGAGCCAGGGACGCCCCGCGGGAGGAGGCGGGGCUGCCCUCCUUCCCUUGGCCUUUGCGCAGCAGUCAGCGCCAGAGUCAGAAGGGAUUACCUCCCGCUGAGGACACAAGCCGCCCGGUGCUUGGCUCUCUGAGACGCACUCCCCAAAGCUCCCUUCCUUCGUGAGCAUUUUCAUUCCAGAAAGAGGGACACAGAGCAGUAACCCCAAGGACCACCGCAGUCAGUCCUAGACUGUCUGAUACCAACUCGGAUGAUCUUGGAAAGCGUCCCUAAGUGAAGAAGAAUGAAGACUUUCAGUUUUAUCCACGGCCCUAUGCGUGCCUAAGGGAGGCCAUGGUUCUGGGGGCACCAGCCUGCUGUGGCCCCCUUUGCCCAGCAAAGUCAUAAGGCUACGCUUUUUUCUCCUUCACCCCAGACUCUAUCUCCAUGUUUCUCUUCAGCACUGGUGAACAGAGGCUGAGUUUUGGCAACACUGGACCAGCCCACACCACUCAAGGAAACACCUUUACCUGUUCAUUAAAGGAUAUGAUAAAGGAUACGGAUGAACAGUCAGAUGGGGACACAGGAACAUCCAUCCCUGAGAAGUUGGGGUGCGUCGCCCCUCAUGCACGUGGUCACCCCUUGAGAGCUCUCUGAACCCCAGACUCUUGGGAGGCUUCCUCACGCAGGGGUCAAUCAUUACUUCCACUUUUGGCCCUUCUCCCUUCUCAAGAGAGUGGGACGAGGCGGAAGGGUCCGAGGUUCUAAUCAGGGCUCGGUCUUUGCGGGGGUCAGCCCUCCUCCAGGAGCCACCACGGUCACCUCUUUAGAAUAAGACACUCCUUCACCCAGGAAAUCAUAAGGGGCUCAUGAUUCUGCAUCAGGAACUGGGGUCAAAGACCAAACAUUAGAACAAAAGGUCCUCCCAGCGUUCUUAUCACUCAGGGAAUUACCAGGGUUCCAGGAGCCCUGUGCCGGGAGCCAGCAGCAGAUACCAAGUUACGCUCUCUCCCUAUUAUCUCACAGUAUCUCCCUGGUGUCUUGAGACUGGGGUCCGUGUCCCCUACCCUCACAUCACAGACCUUAGUGUAGCUCCUAGCCCAUGGGGGGCGCUCAGUACAAGUGUGGAAUGAAUGAAAUAAUUAGUCGGCACAGCAGUUGGCACAUCCUGGCUGCCAUUUCAUGAAGGCUCGGUGGUUCAGGCAAUAAAGUUAUUAAAGCUGAUUGGAAUUCCCA
This 1929-nucleotide long non-coding RNA is filed under the name Sus scrofa (pig). Its description in RNAcentral is "lncRNA (ENSSSCG00035042401.1, ENSSSCG00055019173.1, ENSSSCG00070003217.1)". The record is from RNAcentral. Lineage: Eukaryota; Metazoa; Chordata; Mammalia; Artiodactyla; Suidae.